ACUGUCCAGGUCUGACAUCUGACAUUCGCCACACUGUCCAGUUCUGACAUUCGCCACACUGUCCAGUUCUGACAUUCGCCACACUGUCCAGUUCUGACAUUCGCCACACUGUCUAGUUCUGACAUUCGCCACACUGUCCAGUUCUGACAAUCGCCACACUGUCCAGUUCUGACAUUCGCCACACUGUCCAGUUCUGACAUUCGCCACACUGUUCAGUUCUGACAUUCACCACACUGUCCAGUUCUGACAUUCGCCACACUUUCCAGGUCUGACAUUCACCACACUGUCCAGGUGUGACAUUCACCACACUGUCCAGGUCUGACAUCUGACAUUCGCCACACUGUCCAGGUCUGACAUUCGCCACACUGUCCAGUUCUGACAUUCGCCAUACUGUCCAGGUCUGACAUUCAUCACACUGUCCAGGUCUGACAUUCACCACACUGUCCAGGUCUGACAUUCACCACACUGUCUAGGUCUGACAUUCUAUAGCUCUGUAUGAAGUUUAAAACAAACAGACGUGACAAUAUACUUUUAAACAUGAAUACAUGAUCACACGUUGUUUGUUUCUUUGUAGUUUGGCAACGGUAUCUCUUUAAUAAGCUCUGUUUUGUGAGCGUGUGUAUUCUUCCAUCGGGAUCAUGUUUGACCUGUAUUUUGUAUUUCCUGUGUCGGAGAUUUGUUUGAAAUGGGAUCUAUUGUAAAGCAAUUAUUAUCUCGCGUUGACCAGACAUAAAUGGCGAUAAUGAUCAGCAAACAGUAAAACUUAGACGGUUCAAUGUGACUAUUGGACCAUACUAUUUACAUGGUUUUAUUUACAUUCCAUCAAACACAACUAACAGUAUUUGCAUUCUAUCAAACAGAACUAAUAUUGUUCAAAUUGGGGGUAGAAACAAUUAUUUCAAUUGAUGUAUAUAUAGUUAUAUACACUGAAAUAUCUUAAAGCUGCACUCUAACAGAUUGAACGUUUUGACAACUUAUUUAUUUUUUUGUCUUGGAACGAGACAAUUUAAGCGAAAAUGCAUGGAAACCAGUCAUACAAGUCUGCUGAUUUUUUUUUAUUUAAGUUAAAAAAAAAUAUGUUUUAUGCAUUUUUCUUGAACCGUUAGGAACGCUUUUACCCAUAAAACAUUAAUUUUCGAACGGAAAUAUUCAUAUCUGCGAUCUGAUAUUUUGUCAGUAGUGUUCUAUCACUGGUUUGCAGAUAUUAAAGCAAAUAUGUGCUCAUUCCUAGACAAAAUAUAAAAAAGUUUUAAAAACGGCGAAUCUGUGAGAUUGCAGCUUUAAAUAUCACACUACGCUUGGUUUGUUAUACUAACAUAAGGUAUGCAUGGAUAAAGAAGAUAUUAUUUCAAUGAUACUUUAUUUUCUAUUCAAAUAUGGUAUGUACAAUGAAAAGAUCCUUAGCAAACAACGAAGCUAGUAAAUUAUUUUUUCAAACAUGUACUCGUAAUCGUUGAGUUCUGGUACAGAUACAUGUCGAUGCCGGUGGUCAGGGAUUCGCAGGGACUCGCAGUGACUCGCCGUGACUCGCUCUACUUUACCACAUGCCCUGCUUCCCUGGAAAACACAAAUUUCACCGUCUAAUUUCUGUAUUAAUAAACGGACGAUUUAGAAAAUUUCUUCAAUAAAAAAUACACCAAUAAAUUAUGAUCUUCAA
Mya arenaria is the source of this 1657-nucleotide long non-coding RNA. RefSeq lists it as uncharacterized. The record is from RefSeq and is a predicted model, not a curated record. The transcript is spliced from 2 exons. Lineage: Eukaryota; Metazoa; Mollusca; Bivalvia; Myida; Myidae.